GUCAGUUGCCCCAUUCACACAACUAAGGAGUGUCAGAUCAGGAAUUCAGCCCACAUGUCUGACUUUAAAGGCCAUGUUCCUGAAACAGUCCUUGGCUGCCCCCAGUCUCCAGACCCGUCUCUCUUUCUUCCUAUGUGUACUUAGAGUUCUGGUUAUCAAUUUCCUUAAUCCUCCAAGGUGCUUCAUCUUUAUCUUUUCCUACCUUUCUUUUUCAUAUUUUACAGUGACAUUUCUAUUUAAGUUAAUUCCAUUCCUCUCCUUCCUCCUCAGUGGUGAUCUCAGCCUCUUAAAAUUUACCCAUUGCUAUGAAAGGUCACUUUCUUUGUGACACCUCCCUUGACCUUCUUGUUUCUUCUGCAAAACAGCAACUGUGACCUCCCUCUGCCUGAAUGGACAUAUCUUCUCUGAUUUUUAUCAUAUAUGCAUAAUUUAUAGCAGAUAUCUAUGCAUCUACAGGAGAAACCAGGACAUUAUGUUCAAAAGUUCCCCAGAGAUCAUCUUGCUGACACUGUUUUCAGAGCCCCAGGGUUUAAGGGAGGCAGUUCCAGACUUGACUGAUGGAGGCAGCCUGGAGAGGCUGAGUGAGUGGACCUGACCUCCUUACACACACCCACACCACUUCACACAGAGGAUCCCCUUUUUAUUCCUUUUAUACCCUGGGAUAAAUGUCUAAAUACAUUCCCAUAAUCAGUUAUUGUCUCUUCUCUCCCACUAGAACUCUGGUAUUUUGUGGGAAGGGAGUCUUCUGGCUAGGGUGUCUCUAGCUUGGGGCUUAUCUGAUACAGAGUGACUUAAUUUAUCUGGACUUAGAUAUUUUACCUUUAGGCAUGGAUGGUAAGUAUUCUUUCCCUUUUAAAGGUACAAGAACAGAGGCCCACCUCACCAAAGUCAUCUGUCCUAGUUCAUAGAGUUAGUGAGUAGAGAAGUCAAGAUCUGUCUGGCUCAGAUUCUGAAAUGGGAUUGACCAAGGUUCAAAUCCCAGCCGACCUCUAAGUAGCUUGGUGUUCUGGCAAGUGACUCAAUCUUCUGAGUCUUGCCUCUUGUAACAGGCAUAGCCAUACCUCACACUGUUCCUAGGAUCACACACUGUGACCUAGAUGUCUGGGUUUCAACCCAAGUCGGCUGUUUUCACUAUGCUGCACUAUCUACUAGAGAAAACUUCCUGAGAAAAUGCUAGGUAUUGUAACUUCUGAACUAUCUUCAGCAACAGAUUCAAAAAUACAUCAUUCUGAGACUUUUCCCCCACUCAGCCUGUGUGAUUUUUAAACUGUUCAGAAAGCUAUGCAAUUUCUGUCAGGGAGAGAGCAAGUCAAGGCUCUUACAUGAAACAGUGAUACAGCAAGUGACGCAUAAUGCUAUUGUCUGACUUCUUGUGACCCUCCAAAAUCCUUAUGUUGGAACCUAAUCUCCCAUGUGAUUAUAUUAAGUGGUGGAGUCCUCGAGGAGGUGAUUAAGUCAAAGGGUAGAAUCUGCACCAAUGGCAUUAGUGCCCUUAUAAUAUAGGCCAAAGUGUUUGCUUGCUUCUCCCACCAUGUGAGGAUACAUCAAAGGUACCAUCUAUGAAGCAGAGUCAGACCUCCCCAGAAACCACAGCUAUUAGCACCUUGACCUUGGACCUUUUGACCUUCAGAACUAUGAGAAAUAAAUUGCUGUUGCUUAUAAAUCAUUCAGUCUAAGAUAUUUUGUUAGAGCAGCCCAAAUGGACCAGGACAUAUAGCAUAUGAUAACAAGGCCUGGCAAUUUUGUUCUGCUAAAGAAAUUCCCUCCUCACUAAAAUAUCUGAAUUGAAGUAGUAUUCUACUCCUUUGCCUCUGAGCCUCUAAGUUCCCAAC
This 1832-nucleotide long non-coding RNA is filed under the name Marmota monax (woodchuck). The record is from RNAcentral. Lineage: Eukaryota; Metazoa; Chordata; Mammalia; Rodentia; Sciuridae.